GAUGAACGCUAGCGGCAGGCCUAACACAUGCAAGUCGAACGAGACCUUCGGGUCUAGUGGCGCACGGGUGCGUAACGCGUAGGCAAUCUACCCGAUACAGGGGAAUAACACGGGGAAACUCGUGCUAAUACCGCGUAAUAAAUGAGAAGGCAUCUUUUUAUUUUAAAAGCUUCGGCGGUAUCGGAAGAGCCUGCGUCCUAUUAGCUAGUUGGUAAGGUAACAGCUUACCAAGGCGACGAUAGGUAGGGGAACUGAGAGGUUGAUCCCCCACACUGGUACUGAGAUACGGACCAGACUCCUACGGGAGGCAGCAGUGAGGAAUAUUGGUCAAUGGACGGAAGUCUGAACCAGCCAUGCCGCGUGUCGGAAGACGGCCCUCUGGGUUGUAAACGGCUUUUCUUUGGGAAGAACACGCUCUUGCGAGAGCAACUGACGGUACCAAAGGAAUAAGCACCGGCUAACUACG
This 466-nucleotide ribosomal RNA is filed under the name uncultured Flexibacter sp. RNAcentral describes it as "bacterial SSU rRNA". It matches the Rfam family "Bacterial small subunit ribosomal RNA", at positions 28 to 505 of the family's 1533-position model. Lineage: Bacteria; Pseudomonadati; Bacteroidota; Cytophagia; Cytophagales; Flexibacteraceae. The record is from RNAcentral.